AUGGAGCCUACUGAUGAUGAUACAUUUGAGGUCUUUGAGGGGGAUGAUGGGGUUGAGAAUCAGGAGGAUGGGAUGACAAGUUCUGAGGAUGAGGUAAUGGACUGGACUAAGGUGCAGGAGAUCCAGGACAUCUGUAGAGAACCCACAAGUAGCGACACUUUUGAAGGUUGGCACAGUGAGGAUCCAGCUAGGUCUGGUGGGGCGUUGUCUGAUUCUAGCUCUGAGGAGGAAUUGAGGCAACAGACUGCAGCUACUAGCAGGGUGUUGGCUGAUUCUAGUUCUGAGGAUGAUUUGUGAAUAUAAAUGGGUUUGGGAAAUAGAUCACCUUUGCAGUCGGCAAAGUGUUGUUGGGUGUUCGUGUGUCCUUGUGAGCUGUUUGGGAAGACGUGCUGUAGGAAGACCUCUGUGAACGUAAAUUUAAUCUGGAUUAUCCAUGGCUGUGGGGGUUGGAACUGUAAGGGUUUUCUCUGGACUGCUUUGUGUUGUUCCUAUGCACUAGUUGCAGUGCUGCAUUCUACACUUUAGCUCUGUGUAUGACUUGUACUGGAUUUCAUAUUGCUGAUUUCUCCUUUUCUGACCUGGACUGGAUUUCGUAUUGCUGACUUCUCCUUCUCUGACCCAGAUUGGACUCAACGACGCCGACAUUGUGUUUGGGUGACUUCAACAGAAGUCUUCGGGCCCCUGCUGAUCGUCUAUUCCUGCCUGCUGAUGUCCUGCUGGGAAUUGGAGUGCUUUCUUUGUUGUUUUACAAAAUUUGUUUUUAAACUGGAUUAUACUCCGGUUUAAUCUGGGUUAUUUUCCAGGGUCUGGGGUUUUGUGUUGAUUGCUGGGAAUUCUGUGUUUCACACUGAAGAUUAAGUGUUCUGAGCCUUUUGAGUUUGUUUUUGGGCUCCUUUUGGUUGUGAACUAAUAAACUGUAUUUUUACUAACGUCUGGUCUGGCGCUUUAAGGAGUCUGUGUUGCAACAGUAUUUCUAUGGGAAGUGAGGGCCUGCUUUUGGCUGAUGAGAGAGUCAAGUGAAGUAGGAUUGCUGUUGUAUGCCUUCAAGUCAUGUCAAAUUUAGGGUGAUCCUAAGUCUCAGGUUUAAGGCAGGGGGCAGGUAAAGGAUCUGGCCUGCAGACCUUAGUUUCGGGACCCCUGCAAUAUAGCAUAACUUUGAUUCCUAAAGAAGAAAACUACACAUUUAUGAUGAAAAAUUGCAGAUAAGUUCAUUGUUGAAUAAUAAUUACCAGGUUUUUUUUUUUACAAUAUCACAUAAUAACAGAGAGAUAAUAAAAAUGUUUAAAUAUAUGGGGACAUUUGGACCAAAAUGACGACAAAGUGGCUACAUUGAUGUUUUUUGAUGCAGAAAAAGAUUCUGUACAUUUUAAUUGGAUUUUUCAUUUCAGAGCUUUAGAAGAGAUGAGAAUUGAAGAAAACUGUAUGACAUAGUUUACGUAGAGCUAUACUACCCAAAUAUAAUAAUUAAUGGAGACUUGUGCAACCCAUGUGAAAUACAAAAGGGAACUAGACAAGGAUGCCUAUUAUCCCCUUUGUUGCUUAUUUUAACUCUUGAAGUGUUGACAAACUAAAAACAUCUUAAGUAAGGUAUCAGGUUUAAAAAAUUGUAAACUAAGAACAUAUACAGAUGAAUUAGAGGGCAAGUACAGGGAAUGAGGAAAGAAUGGCAUGAAAGAACCAGUGGUAUCCCAGAGAUACUGGCUUCAGCAAGUCAGUAUCUCUGGGCUUCUUACAGUAUACAUACCUGUUAGAUUCUGGCUUCUUACAGCAUAUAUAUUUCUGGCUUCUUACAGCAUACAUACCUUGUU
Long non-coding RNA from Anolis carolinensis (green anole), 1808 nucleotides. The record is from Ensembl. NCBI's taxonomy places the organism in Eukaryota, Metazoa, Chordata, Lepidosauria, Squamata, Anolidae.